UUUUUUUUUUUUUAGGACAUCAUACAUAGUAGCCAAGAUGAGCCCAGCUCAUUCCAGCUCAUGUUGGAGGAACUGUGUAGCACUUAUCGCUAAUCACACUCACAUAUUCUGGUCCUGUCCUAAUUUAAGUGUUUAUUGGAAAGAGAUAUUUGAUGCCCUUAAAGUGGGUUUACAACACGAUAUCCCAUAGGAACCUACAGUGGCAUUAUUGGGGGUAAUUCCUGGAGGACUGGAGGAGAGGGCCACAAAAUAUCUACUGAAUAUUUUAUUCACAGCUGCAUUACA
Molecule: long non-coding RNA, 285 nt
Organism: Thalassophryne amazonica
Lineage: Eukaryota; Metazoa; Chordata; Actinopteri; Batrachoidiformes; Batrachoididae
Exons: 3
Source: RefSeq, a predicted model, not a curated record